ACUAGAGGCUCUAAAGAGUCUGUGUCGCUCACCUUGGUCUAUGUGAAUAUUAAACAAAGGACGCAGAUGGAUUCAUGACAAAAUUGUGUUUUGGUGAUGGUGAUGUGUUUGUACAUCUUAAUUUACUGAACAUUCUUGCUGCUUACAAUUAUCUCUAUCUAUAAUUAACUUGGCCCAGUAGUUUCAGAGCAGAAGAUUUUUGUAAAAGAUUACUUAUAUUUAUGAAAAAUGGUUAAAAAUUGACUAUAAAGGGCAAUAACUCCUAAAGGGGUCAACUGACAAUUUCAGUCAUGUUGACUUAUUUGUA
RNAcentral lists this long non-coding RNA (307 nucleotides) under Mytilus galloprovincialis (Mediterranean mussel). The record is from RNAcentral. Lineage: Eukaryota; Metazoa; Mollusca; Bivalvia; Mytilida; Mytilidae.